UCUUAUGUUUUUGUUUGUUUUAAAAGGAAACAGCGAAUGAAGUGAGAAAAUCCUGGAGUGGGUUUAGUAGCUUGAACAACUGGGUUGUAAAAGAUUAUUACAGGUUGGUGAAUUCUGUGAAUUCCAUGGAGCCCCAAAUUCAGAAUCUUUCUGACGAGCAGUUGAGAGCAAAAACUCUAGAGUUCCGUCGCCGUUUGAGAGAAGGAGAGACACUAGCUCAUAUUCAAGCUG
This 231-nucleotide unclassified non-coding RNA is filed under the name Hevea brasiliensis (rubber tree). The record is from RNAcentral. Lineage: Eukaryota; Viridiplantae; Streptophyta; Magnoliopsida; Malpighiales; Euphorbiaceae.